AUAUCAAUAAGCGGAGGAAAAGAAACUAACAAGGAUUCCCCUAGUAACGGCGAGUGAACAGGGAAGAGCUCAAAUUUGUAAUCUGGCGUCCUUUGGGCGUCCGAGUUGUAAUCUAUAGAAGCGUUUUCCGUGCUGGACCAUGUCCAAGUCCCUUGGAACAGGGUAUCAAAGAGGGUGACAAUCCCGUACUUGACAUGACGACCAGUGCUCUGUGAUACGCUCUCUACGAGUCGAGUUGUUUGGGAAUGCAGCUCAAAACGGGUGGUGAGUUCCAUCUAAAGCUAAAUAUUGGCGAGAGACCGAUAGCGAACAAGUACCGUGAGGGAAAGAUGAAAAGCACUUUGGAAAGAGAGUUAAACAGUACGUGAAAUUGUUGAAAGGGAAACGAUUGAAGUCAGUCGUGUCCGAGGGGUUCAGCCGGUUCUGCCGGUGUAUUCCCCUCGGACGGGUCAACAUCAGUUUGGAUCGGCGGAAAAGGGCAGUUGGAAGGUAGCAGCUCCGGUUGUGUUAUAGCCUUCUGUCGCAUACGCUGGUCUGGACUGAGGAAUGCAGCUCGCCUUCAUGGCUGGGGUUCUCCCACAUACGAGCUUAGGAUGUUGACAUAAUG
RNAcentral lists this ribosomal RNA (607 nucleotides) under [Candida] sp. BG02-7-13-014-4-2. RNAcentral's name for it is "eukaryotic LSU rRNA". It matches the Rfam family "Eukaryotic large subunit ribosomal RNA", at positions 40 to 636 of the family's 3401-position model. The record is from RNAcentral. Lineage: Eukaryota; Fungi; Ascomycota; Saccharomycetes; Saccharomycetales.